GACGAACGCUGGCGGCGUGCUUAACACAUGCAAGUCGAACGGAAAGGCUCUAGCUUGCUGGAGUACUCGAGUGGCGAACGGGUGCGUAACACGUGGGUAAUCUGCCCUGCACUCUGGGAUAAGCCUGGGAAACUGGGUCUAAUACUGGAUAUGACCUUUCUCCUUAUGGGGUUUGGUGGAAAGUUUUUCGGUGUAGGAUUGGCGGGGGGCCUAUCGGCUUGUUGGUGGGGCGAUGGCCUACCAAGGCGAGGAGGGGUAGCCUGCCUGGGAGGAUAGUCGGGCACAAUGGGACUGAGAUACGGACCAGACGCCUACGGGAGGCAGUAGGGGGGAAUAUUGCCCAAUGGGAGGAAGCGUGAUGCAGAGACGCCGCGUGAGGGAUGACGGCCUUCGGGUUGUAAACAGCUGUCAGCAGGGACGAAGCGUAAGUGACGGUACCUGCAGAAGAAGCACCGGCUAACUACGUG
RNAcentral lists this ribosomal RNA (467 nucleotides) under uncultured bacterium. RNAcentral describes it as "partial 16S ribosomal RNA". It matches the Rfam family "Bacterial small subunit ribosomal RNA", at positions 28 to 507 of the family's 1533-position model. The record is from RNAcentral.